This is a long non-coding RNA of Tympanuchus pallidicinctus (lesser prairie-chicken), 1433 nucleotides long. RefSeq lists it as uncharacterized. The transcript is spliced from 3 exons. The record is from RefSeq and is a predicted model, not a curated record. NCBI's taxonomy places the organism in Eukaryota, Metazoa, Chordata, Aves, Galliformes, Phasianidae.
UCUAGGAUAAGUUCAAAUGAUAAAGGCAGCAAGUAUUUAAUUACCAUCUCUCAGAAGACACAGGUUAGUUUUCAGCUCCCGAUGUGCUGAGAUCUGCCCAUGUGAGUAGAGUUUUGGGAGGCUGAGCUCACGUGGGUAGAGAUGUAAAGUUGUCCUCUGUCACUCUUCUGCCAGGAGAUCUUCAUGAUGUUGUUAUUUGUUUUUAAAGUUUAAGUGCACAUAUAUUUUAAGUGUAGUUAGCUCUGUUGAAGGCAAAUGGUGGUCAAUUUCAGAGCCACCCAAUUGAAAGCUAUUGACAUAGCAGAUUUGGUGAGGAUCAGGAAGAGCAGGGCUUCCGUGGAAAGGGCUUUUGAUGAAAAGGUAAACAGCUCAUGACUCCUCCGAUGGGCCUUUUGUUAAGAUGAUAGACAUUUAGGCCUCUUUUUACACUCUAAGUAUACAACUUUCUCCAGAAGGUAUUGGAUUGUUUGUUUCUUCAGUAUCUAUUUUUGCAAAACAGAUUGGAAACUUAAUUCCUUGUGUAGUCCAUGAGGCUUUGUACAAACUCUCAUCUCUGCAUGAUUCUCCUGCAUUUUGACUAAGAAGCCCUUCUGAACAAACAAGAGCCUGAAUGAUCAUCAGCUGCAAUUCAUUUUUUUGUUUGACAAGCAAUUGGUACAAAAGCUGGAGCUGUGACAGUGGUGCCAUCAGAAAUGGAUUGUGGUGUUCAUCUUAAGAAAACAAAAUCUCAGGAUGCUGGUAGGAACCAUGAGCGGCCAGAGGAGGAUGUCCAUAUUGCAGAUACCUUGGAGCAUAUUAUAGGACAGCUGGAUGUUCUGACUCAGAGAAGUACGUGUUAUCCAAAAAGAAGUUUAGGAUGAUGCACUGGAGUACCCAACAAGUACUGAAGCACAGCUGAUUUGGGGAUAUACAGCAUUGUAGGACUACAGGCAGUCUAAAAUAGAGUGAAAACCAAAAGAUAUUGAAAUUCGUUUGGCAGAAGUGCAAGAAAACACUUUUCUAUAGUCUUUAGAAUCUUCACUGGAGGGAGAAAGCUCUUCUAUGACAUUGGUUCUGUGUUUUUAUGAUGAAAUACACCCCAGUACAUGCACAAAAUAUCUUACUGUUUUUGUCUCCGUAGUAAGUUUGGAUUGUGAUAUUCAUCUUUAAUUACACAAAUCAGAUCCAUGGUCCUGAUGAAGUUUGUGUAAUGUCUCCUUUUCAACUUCAUAGGUACUUAGAGGGAGCAAAUAUUGCAGUAAGCAGCAUGUGUGGGGUUUAAACUAGAUAAAAGCAAUUCAGGCAUCUCUGCAAGUCAUUGCAUAACUGAAAAAAAAAUAAAAUGCUAUUUUAAACCUAGCAAAAAGAGAGUGAAGUGGAGAUCACUGGGGGAGGAAUGAAUUAGGAGGUUUUAGGAUAACAUUGAAACUAGCCCUGAAAUUAUAGUGUAAGAA